AGCCCAGAGCCUGAAUCAGUGUGUGUGUUAGUGGAAGCGUCUGGAAAGGCGUGCGAUACAGGGUGACAGCCCCGUACACAAAAAUGCACAUACUGUGAGCUCGAUGAGUAGGGCGGGACACGUGGUAUCCUGUCUGAAUAUGGGGGGACCAUCCUCCAAGGCUAAAUACUCCUGACUGACCGAUAGUGAACCAGUACCGUGAGGGAAAGGCGAAAAGAACCCCGGCGAGGGGAGUGAAAAAGAACCUGAAACCGUGUACGUACAAGCAGUGGGAGCACGCUUAGGCGUGUGACUGCGUACCUUUUGUAUAAUGGGUCAGCGACUUAUAUUCUGUAGCAAGGUUAACCGAAUAGGGGAGCCGAAGGGAAACCGAGUCUUAACUGGGCGUUAAGUUGCAGGGUAUAGACCCGAAACCCGGUGAUCUAGCCAUGGGCAGGUUGAAGGUUGGGUAACACUAACUGGAGGACCGAACCGACUAAUGUUGAAAAAUUAGCGGAUGACUUGUGGCUGGGGGUGAAAGGCCAAUCAAACCGGGAGAUAGCUGGUUCUCCCCGAAAGCUAUUUAGGUAGCGCCUCGUGAAUUCAUCUCCGGGGGUAGAGCACUGUUUCGGCAAGGGGGUCAUCCCGACUUACCAACCCGAUGCAAACUGCGAAUACCGGAGAAUGUUAUCACGGGAGACACACGGCGGGUGCUAACGUCCGUCGUGAAGAGGGAAACAACCCAGACCGCCAGCUAAGGUCCCAAAGUCAUGGUUAAGUGGGAAACGAUGUGGGAAGGCCCAGACAGCCAGGAUGUUGGCUUAGAAGCAGCCAUCAUUUAAAGAAAGCGUAAUAGCUCACUGGUCGAGUCGGCCUGCGCGGAAGAUGUAACGGGGCUAAACCAUG
Molecule: ribosomal RNA, 885 nt
Filed under: Escherichia coli
Lineage: Bacteria; Pseudomonadati; Pseudomonadota; Gammaproteobacteria; Enterobacterales; Enterobacteriaceae
Description: partial 23S ribosomal RNA
Rfam family: Bacterial large subunit ribosomal RNA
Source: RNAcentral